GCAUCAGUGGUUUGGUGCUAGAAUUUUUGCCUUCCAUGCGGGAGACCCAGAUUCAAUUCCCGGCUAAUGCA
RNAcentral lists this transfer RNA (71 nucleotides) under Loxodonta africana (African savanna elephant). It matches the Rfam family "tRNA". Rfam says of the family: Transfer RNA (tRNA) molecules are approximately 80 nucleotides in length. Their secondary structure includes four short double-helical elements and three loops (D, anti-codon, and T loops). The record is from Rfam by way of RNAcentral. Lineage: Eukaryota; Metazoa; Chordata; Mammalia; Proboscidea; Elephantidae.